CUAUCCAAAAUAUUAUUUAAUUAUUUUCAGAAUUAUUUUCUUUCAAUGUUUAUUCAAAUAGAACUUAAACCCAUCUCAGAAUUUUUAAAUGCUUGAUGACGUCACAUUUAAAACGUGGCAACAUUGGUUUCCCCACUUUGACAGCCAAUGCUUAGUAGAGGGGUACGAAGGAUUCAGCUGUGAACGUGAGCCUUGGAUUGCCAUUGUUUCUCGAGUGUUCGGUCUGAAUCGUAGUGUGCGGGGUCAUUAGACUCAAUUAUUCACCUCUAAUUCUCAGUUCCAAAUUGAUUAAAUAUUACAAUAAAAGUAUAGUGAAGUUAUCCAGCAGCAGUGGAUUUGAAGAAUUUUAGAGCAUACUAUAUCCAAUGAGUUCUACCCCGGUAAAUACACAUUUUAUUAAGUAUUUUAUUCAGCCAUUUUGGAAGUCCUUGACAUUUGCUAACUAAGUUUCACAUAGUCUAUUUUCAUGGUUUUUAUGUUUUAUUUUCAUGGAUCAAACUCAUCUAGAGAUAAUUCAAUAUUCGUUGUUAAUUUGUGCUUCCAGUUGGAAAAUAGAGCUAAUUUAAACUCCAUUUUUUAUAUUCCUUUCAAGUCUACAGAACUCCUAUCUUUUGAACGAUGAUCAAAUAAGUAUCCAUCGCUUAGUCUUACUAUAUUUUAUCCUUGUAUAAUAUAUCUAUAUACCGGUGUAUAUAUUAUAAUAAAAUAUUCUUUCACAGUAAUUAUAUUUUGUAUUUCAAUUGGAAAUUACUUGUGUUAUUUGACCAAGGUCAUCUGAUAGCAACCUGAUAAAAGGUCAAGCUGUCUAGUCAUUCAAGUUUUUGGACUUAAUGACCUAUUUCUUCUUAUUCCCAUAGGAAUAAAAACACCUCCUCGUAUCUCUUGCUUCUUUUUUUUGACAUUGGUAGAUUGGUAGUAACACCACACUGUGUUUUUUUUAGCACCUACCAUGAAAUCUUAAAGCCACCCUACAACAACACCAAGGCCAGACCACACAGAGAGAAACAAUCAAUAGGCGACCAGCCUGGAUUAUUUCCACAUUUUCUUUUUUUUGAGUACCUCCAGCUGCUUUCCAACAGUUUUGAGUACCUUCAGCUGCUUUCUACCAGUCUUCCUCUCCUGUACCUCCAGCAGGACAGCUGCUAGCGAGAGUUAGCACCCUUGGGUGCCCAUUACAUCAACUUCAAGAUUAGGAAAGAGUGGUUUGUUUGGGAACAUUUACUGUGCUCUUAUUAAAGACAGACUGGUUUUGUGAUAUUUAGUACAUUUUUUUUUAUUCAAUUGCACACACAUUUUUCCUGCUUUAUAUUUUUUAUAGGUUUUUUUUCUUUACAACAUAAUAUUUAAUUGAUAGCGUUCCCCAACACUCUGCAAUCUAUAAAGGUAUAAAUUUCUGAGCUCAGAUAUUUUCCCUGAUAAUAGUAGUCGGUACUCUUAUCUUGAUUAUUUUUAGGCUGUGUUCCACUUUUGUAUAAUUAUUUAAACUCAUUCCAUUAUUUUAGUAUAUGUUUAAUUAAAUUUUUAAAAAUUAACUUCACAUAUUAGUCAAAAUUGUAAUUAUUAACUUUAUUUAACUCGAACUUAUUAACUUUACUUAACUUUAACUUAUUAACUUUAUUUAACUUUAACUUUAAUUUAUUAAAUUCAUAUGAACUUCUGGAUUCUAAUCCCUCAGAUUAGUUUUUGGUUUCACUUGUUAUUAUUACUAUUAUAAACCACGAGUUAGGAAAAGGAUCUGUGUAUCCACUCGUAGGUUUAUUUAUUCAAUAAGGCUUGUGCCUGUCCCACUCACAGUGAGGUAUUUAUAUGUUAUAUAUAGUAUCAGGUAGUAUUUAAUUAAGGUGUACGUAUUAUAAACGUACAAUUAUUAUUUGGUGAGGGUUCUACUAACCUAGUUGUAAGUUGUACUUCCUGUAUUAGAGGUACCCGUAGUCAGUUUUUCUAACCUUAUAAAGAGUAUUCUUAGAUCAUAGUUGUAUGAUGAUUUUGUAAUUGACUUUCACUAGUAUCACUUUUUCCUGUCAUGUUAGAGUUACACACUAGUUACUUGUCCUAACUCAGAGAUUGUUAAAAAGAUCUAGUAGUUACAUUCAAUAAAUAUACAUUUAUUGUGA
Molecule: long non-coding RNA, 2114 nt
Filed under: Diabrotica virgifera virgifera (western corn rootworm)
Lineage: Eukaryota; Metazoa; Arthropoda; Insecta; Coleoptera; Chrysomelidae
Description: uncharacterized LOC126889650
Source: RNAcentral